Molecule: ribosomal RNA, 693 nt
Filed under: uncultured Atheliaceae
Lineage: Eukaryota; Fungi; Basidiomycota; Agaricomycetes; Atheliales; Atheliaceae
Description: eukaryotic LSU rRNA
Rfam family: 5.8S ribosomal RNA (bases 291-445)
Source: RNAcentral
AAUAAAUUAAGGGCCGCGAUUCGCCCUUCUUGGUCUUUAGAGGAAGUAAAAGUCGUAACAAGGUUUCCGUAGGUGAACCUGCGGAAGGAUCAUUAUCGAAAUUAUUGGUGAGGGUUGUAGCUGGCCUUUCGAGGCAUGUGCACGCUCGAGCCCUUAAUCCACUUUACACCUGUGCACUUAAUGUAGGUCGCCCUUAAAAAAGGUGACCUAUGUCUUAUCAUCAACCCAUCGUAUGUCUCAUAAAAUGUAAUCGAUAUCCUCGCCCUAAAAAAGCGUUGAUAAACUUAUACAACUUUCAACAACGGAUCUCUUGGCUCUCGCAUCUAUGAAAAACGCAGCGAAAUGCUAUAAGUAAUGUGAAUUGCAGAUUUUCAGUGAAUCAUCAAAUCUUUGAACGCACCUUGCGCUCCUUGGUAUUCCGAGGAGCAUGCCUGUUUGAGUGUCAUUAAAUUCUCAACUCCAAGGGUUUCACGACCUUUCGGAAAUUGGACUUGGAGGUGCUGGCCGCAUAUUGGUCGGCUCCUCUCUAAUGCAUCCGCGGAAUUCAACCUUUGGUUUCCGGAUGGAAGUGUGAUAAUCAUGUUGCGCUGACUUUUGAUCCCUCAGAGUCCGCUUAUAAUGGACUUCGGACAAAAUCAUCAUCAUAUUUGACCUCAAAUCAUGUAGGACUACCCGCUGAACUUAAGCUUAUCA